AGAAUACGGUCAUCUCUGCAUGCAGUUCAACAAAUGGUGGGCUAUGUUAGCCAGAAUGUUCAACUGACAAUUAAGAAUGAAAAUACUCUGGCAGAUCUCAAUCAAGGCUGGAAAAUUUUCUUCACUGGACAAAAAUGAAGAAAAUCAACUGGAUCUCUUCACAUACAUUGCAAGGAACU
Long non-coding RNA from Megalops cyprinoides (Indo-Pacific tarpon), 179 nucleotides. RefSeq lists it as uncharacterized. The transcript has 3 exons. The record is from RefSeq and is a predicted model, not a curated record. Lineage: Eukaryota; Metazoa; Chordata; Actinopteri; Elopiformes; Megalopidae.